UAUUUUGCACCACUCAAUAUCGCUAAAUUUCAAAAUCUCAUUUCUAGAAAUAUUUGCGGUUGCAGACGAUAGCGGCUAGUCACAAGAAAAAAGAAAAUCACAUAAGCGACAAAUACUUAGAUCAUAUAUAUAUAUCUAUAUA
This 142-nucleotide small RNA is filed under the name Arabidopsis thaliana (thale cress). RNAcentral describes it as "ATSL221750". The record is from RNAcentral. Lineage: Eukaryota; Viridiplantae; Streptophyta; Magnoliopsida; Brassicales; Brassicaceae.